GAUGAACGCUGGCGGCGUGCUUAACACAUGCAAGUCGAACGGUAAAGCCCAGCUUGCGUGGGGGGUUAGUGUCAAGCAGGUGAGUAACACAUGAGUAACCUGCGCUUAAGUCUGUGGGAAGCCUGCAGGACAGUGGGGAUAACCGGAGAUAGGCGCCUACGGCGCGGGGUGGGGGGGGGAGAUUUAUCGGUUUUGGAUGGACUCGCGGCCUAUCAGCUUGUUGGUGUGGUAGUGGCUCACCAAGGCGCCGACGGGUAGCCGGCCUGAGAGGGUGACCGGCCACACUGGGACUGAGACACGGCCCAGACUCCUACGGGAGGCAGCAGUGGGGAAUAUUGCACAAUGGGCGGAAGCCUGAUGCAGCGACGCCGCGUGCGGGAUGACGGCCUUCGGGUUGUAAACCGCUUUCGGCAGGGACGAAGCGAAAGUGACGGUAAUUGGUGAAGAAGCACCGGCUAACUACGUG
This 466-nucleotide ribosomal RNA is filed under the name uncultured bacterium. RNAcentral's name for it is "partial 16S ribosomal RNA". It matches the Rfam family "Bacterial small subunit ribosomal RNA", at positions 28 to 507 of the family's 1533-position model. The record is from RNAcentral.